This 230-nucleotide ribosomal RNA is filed under the name uncultured microorganism. RNAcentral describes it as "partial 16S ribosomal RNA". It matches the Rfam family "Archaeal small subunit ribosomal RNA", at positions 474 to 703 of the family's 1478-position model. The record is from RNAcentral.
UACGGGGGGUGCAAGCGGUAGCCAUUUUUAUUGGGCCUAAAGCGUUCGUAGCCGGUUUGAUAAGUCUCUGGUGAAAUCCUAUGGCUUAACUGUGGGAAUUGCUGGAGAUACUAUUAGACUUGAGGUCGGGAGAGGUUAGCGGUACUCCCAGGGUAGGGGUGAAAUCCUGUAAUCCUGGGAGGACCACCUGUGGCGAAGGCGGCUAACUGGAACGAACCUGACGGUGAGGG